AUGGGUUAUGGCAUGAGUAGGCUACAGGGAUCCAGUGAGCCUGAAGGGCAGAAUAGUGAUGGAUCUAGUUCAGUUGAAGUGAAAAAUGAUUUCUCAAAAUUACAUAAUGAUAUUUUCCAUAUGACUCGACUAAGAUCAGGACCUAGUGAAAGCAUCCGCAAGUCCAUGGAUAGAGUCUCAGUAACAAGGUUGUUACGUGGAAGGGAAGUUAAUUCUUCAGGAAAUGGAAAGUUCUCUCCAGUUGAUCGUGCAUUCGUUCUUGGUCAUUAUCUUCCAGUGGAUGGUCCUGAAACGGUGGAUACGAUGGAUUCACGAGCUUAUGUUUCACAGUUUUCUGCCGAUGGUUCUCUUUUUGUUGCUGGUUUUCAGGGAAGCCACAUAAGAAUAUAUGAUGUCGAUAAAGGUUGGGAAAUACACAAGGACAUUCAUGCUAGAAGUUUGAGAUGGACAAUUAGUGAUGCAGCGUUAUCACCUGAUCAAAGGUUCCUCGUCUACUCUAGUCUGGCACCCAUUAUCCAUAUUGUCAAUGUUGGCACUGCUUCAAAAGAAUCAUAUGCUAAUGUCACUGACAUCCAUGAUGGAUUAGAUUUUUCAGAGCAUGAAGAUGUUAGAUAUUCAUUUGGACUCUUUUCUGUUAAAUUUUCCACUGAUGGGCGGGAGCUUGUUGCUGGCAGUAAUGAUGAUUCAAUAUAUGUCUACGACCUUCAGGCAAACAAAGUGACAUUGCGUUUGCCUGCCCAUACAUCUGAUGUCAACACAGUAGCAUUUGCUGAUGAAUCUGGUAACCUACUUUAUUCUGGAAGCGAUGAUAACUUGUGCAAGGUCUGGGACAGACGUUGUUUGUCCACAGGGGAAGCGGCUGGGGUUUUGACUGGACAUCUGCAUGGCAUUACUCAUAUUGACAGCCGUGGAGAUGGUAGAUGUUUCAUAUCAAAUGGAAAAGAUCAAGCUAUUAAGAUGUGGGACAUCCGGAAAAUGACAUCCAAUGCUGAUGGUUCCGAAAACAGAGUCCCUGCCUGGGACUACAGAUAUUCAAGAUAUCCACAACAGUACAAGCAACAAAAGCAUCCACAUGACCAGUCAGUAGCUACAUACCGGGGCCAUUCAGUUCUCCGUACAUUAAUUCGUUGCUAUUUUUCUCCCACAUAUAGCACAGGACAGAAGUACAUAUAUACAGGAUCUUAUGAUGCUAGUGUCUGCAUCUAUGAUGUGGUAAGUGGGUCGCAGGUUGCCAAACUGCAAGGACAUCAUCAUUUGGCAGUUCGAGACUGCAGCUGGCAUCCGUCCGAUCCAAUGCUUGUCAGUUCAUCAUGGGACGGCCAGAUCGCCAGAUGGUCCAGGACUCGCUCCAAGCAGGAUACUUGUGAAUCCGAUUAA
Molecule: ribosomal RNA, 1377 nt
Filed under: Triticum aestivum (bread wheat)
Lineage: Eukaryota; Viridiplantae; Streptophyta; Magnoliopsida; Poales; Poaceae
Description: partial small subunit ribosomal RNA
Source: RNAcentral